UGGUGGCACCAACCGGGACUAAAGGGGGCAUUGGUCACAGUUCGUGUCACCAACCGUGACCAAUGCCCCCCUUUAGUCCCGGUUGGUGCCACAAA
Molecule: non-coding RNA, 95 nt
Organism: Triticum aestivum (bread wheat)
Lineage: Eukaryota; Viridiplantae; Streptophyta; Magnoliopsida; Poales; Poaceae
Source: Rfam